Molecule: non-coding RNA, 955 nt
Organism: Lepisosteus oculatus (spotted gar)
Lineage: Eukaryota; Metazoa; Chordata; Actinopteri; Semionotiformes; Lepisosteidae
Source: RefSeq, a predicted model, not a curated record
UUGAUGUGACGUCUUCGUCUGCUCCCGGACACAUGACCAAAGCUGUCCGGCUUGGAUCCGGAGAUCACUUCUCUGACUGCUCGGCAAAAGCAGCUCCGUUCUUCACAUGGCCUUUUAAAGUCAUAAACACCUUUGCAAAAGAUGCAGCUUUGCCUGUAAAAAUGUGGAGUUCUGUUUUAGUACAGGAAUAGGUGACGAUUCUCACAGGGUAAGAAGCGGACUCGGGCACAGGUGGUCCACCGCACCGGUGACUUGGAGAACCUCUGCAGCUUCCCUGUAAGGCCCCUGUCCCAGGCCGGUCCGCUCGCAGUGUGUCACCCGUGUUUACCCACUACGGUGUAGAAAACGCCUUUCAGUCCCCGGCGUGUUACUGCAGCGCCUGUUAUCAUCGCAACCCGCCGCGAUCAGAUGUGCGCUGAAGGGAGACUCUGCCGAGAACGGAGCCGAAUUUCUCCGGUGUCUACGAGCGUGCAUAAUGUGCUUUUCUCCCGCCGCCCCGGUCAGACACGGAUCGCUGAUCCACUGAACUGAGCCCUAGAUUUCAGGACGGGCAGCCCUCGGCAAAAAAGUAACUUUCGUUUCUCCACCCCCCCGCCCACGCUUCCUGGCAGCUCGACUUCCGCUGUGGUGAGCGGCUCUGCCGUAAUUUGAAAUCUCAAGGCGGGCGGGAGAUUCGUCUUUGCAGGGUGGAGGGUGUUUGUGCGCCAUGGCGACUGCAGGCACCGACCCGCUGGACUUCUUCACCCAGGAUCAGAUGCUGGCCUUCUUCCACAGCAAGAAGACAGAGCUGUCCUGCCUGGAGCAGCCCCAGAGGCUGCUGAACCAGCUCAGGGACCACAACAUCAUCCCCGAGGAGCAGUACGAGGGACAUCAACACUCUCAGGCCCUCUUUAUUUAAAAACCCGGAGAUCACAGUCCAGGGUCCCAGUCCAGGAUGAGCCCCUACAGCCUGGAG